Eriocheir sinensis (Chinese mitten crab) is the source of this 806-nucleotide long non-coding RNA. RefSeq lists it as uncharacterized. The transcript has 4 exons. Lineage: Eukaryota; Metazoa; Arthropoda; Malacostraca; Decapoda; Varunidae. The record is from RefSeq and is a predicted model, not a curated record.
ACACGGUAAUAAUGAAUCAUUGUUAUGGCGCACAGCUCCGUCUCGCGGCCUUAAAGCUGCUCCACUAGUACUGCACAUUGCACACCAUCGUAGCGAAACGAAAUGAAAUGAACGAAUGAGUAAAUAAAGUCAGGUUAGUGGGCCGUGUCGCCUCUGAUGCUGCACCUUUAAACCAGCAGGAACCACGCUGCUGGCCGCCAUCCAUCCUGUCCCCCGGCGACCGCCCGCCCGCGCCCAGACACCGCCCGGCCUCGCAACGAACCCACCCACAGCCACCAAGGCCACGCGACACCGACCCACAAUAAAACGAUCACUUGACUCUAGAAAGAUCAGAUCACUUGAUCACCAUUAGAGGGUGCUUGCAUGUCACCCCCUAGCAAUAAGGAUGCUUCACCUUCAGCAACAACUUCAAUGAUUGUUAAGGCUGCUUUGUGAAAACUGAGAAAUGCAGCAUCCCAAGCCCAAGUGUCAUGACUCACUCUUACCUCAAUCUUUUUGACCAACUCUACUUCCCAUGGCUGGUGGACCAGGUUGGUGACAACAGAGGAAGAGGCGCCACCGACCCGCCCUGUGCGCCCACACCGAUGGAUGUAAUCAGCGACAUAACUUGGAAAGUCAAAGUUGAUCACAUGCGGCACCUGGAAGGAAAAUGGAAAUGAAGACCACGAGAGAUGAGAUCAGUGCAGGACAGCACCUUCACUUCACCAGCAGUGAAGGCCUUGUAGUGCUUUUCCCUGAGGAACGAGGACGUGGCACCAUUCAGGUUCAUGCAGCGCACACCAUUCUCAUUGAGGAGCAUGGAAAUC